UGGGGGAUAUUGCACAAUGGGCGAAAGCCUGAUGCAGCGACGCCGCGUGGGGGAUGAAGGCCUUCGGGUUGUAAACUUCUUUUGCUCUGAGCAAGGCGCACCAUGGGGUGUGUUGAGUGUAGGGGUUGAUUAGCGCCGGCUAACUACGUGCCAGCAGCCGCGGUAAUACGUAGGGCGCGAGCGUUGUCCGGAAUUAUUGGGCGUAAAGGGCUUGUAGGUGGCUGGUUGCGUCUGUCGUGAAAGCUCAUGGCUUAACUGUGGGUUUGCGGUGGGUACGGGCUGGCUUGAGUGCAGUAGGGGAGGCUGGAAUUCCUGGUGUAGCGGUGGAAUGCGCAGAUAUCAGGAGGAAUACCGGUGGCGAAGGCGGGUCUCUGGGCUGUUACUGACACUGAGGAGCGAAAGCAUGGGGAGCGAACAGG
Molecule: ribosomal RNA, 419 nt
Filed under: bacterium
Lineage: Bacteria
Description: partial 16S ribosomal RNA
Rfam family: Bacterial small subunit ribosomal RNA
Source: RNAcentral